GAGGGGGGUGCGAGCGUUAUUCGGAAUCAUUGGGCGUAAAGGGCGUGUAGACGGGCGUACUAAGUCAACUGUCAAAUUCCUCGGGCUUAACCGAGGGCCGGCGGUAGAUACUGGUGUGCUAGAGGGUGGAAGAGAGAAGUGGAAUUCUCGGAGUAGCGGUAAAAUGCGUGGAUCUCGAGAGGAACACCGAUUGCGAAGGCAGCUUCUUGGUCCACUCCUGACGUUGAGGCGCGAAAGCGUGGGGAGCAAACAGGAUUAGAUACCCUGGUAGUCCACGCUGUAAACGAUGAUCACUAGACGUUAGCCCUGUUUUACAGGGUUGGUGUCGAAGCUAACGCGUUAAGUGAUCCGCCUGGGGACUACGGUCGCAAGACUA
Molecule: ribosomal RNA, 376 nt
Filed under: uncultured organism
Description: partial 16S ribosomal RNA
Rfam family: Bacterial small subunit ribosomal RNA
Source: RNAcentral